AAGCUCCAUCCAAAUGAUGCAUU
This 23-nucleotide non-coding RNA is filed under the name Arabidopsis thaliana (thale cress). The record is from RNAcentral. Lineage: Eukaryota; Viridiplantae; Streptophyta; Magnoliopsida; Brassicales; Brassicaceae.